RNAcentral lists this long non-coding RNA (619 nucleotides) under Capra hircus (goat). RNAcentral describes it as "lncRNA (ENSCHIG00000008268.1)". The record is from RNAcentral. Lineage: Eukaryota; Metazoa; Chordata; Mammalia; Artiodactyla; Bovidae.
AUAAGACCCAUUCCUGGGCAAUGGAGGGCAGAAUGUUUAGAGGUCCUGAUGAAAUACAUGACUGAUCUCUAGGUGAGAUAUAGGACUUCAUCUGUCUCACGUGUUCUUGGGAUCCAUGGUGGUAUCAGGACUGCUCUGGGCUGCUUGCUUUCACAGGGAUCGUGGAGGGUGGUGUGGUUUGCUUGCCAUGUGAACUCAAGUGAGUCAUUUCACGUCUCUGAAGCUGUUUCCUCAUGUAUGAAAUGGAACUCAAAAUCUCUACCCCGUCUACCUCUGAGGUUGUUUGUAGAACUGAGUCAGCAAAGAGAGAGAAGAUCUCUUAAAACUCUGGAAAUAUAAGGAUUCUCUAUUAUCAGGGGUUUUUGGAGGGAGAACAAGGAAGGUAUGUUGCUGUCUUCACAGAUCAACACCAACAUUUUCAAAAUCAAGUUGACACGUACAAAUUAAUAGUCCCAUCUUGAUAUGCUCGCUGGACAAGAACAAGCACAGACACUAAAGUACUGGCUGACCUGCUCACCCCUGCCCCAUCCCACUUCCUGCAAGUGCAUAUUUGUGGUUUUUGACAGCUUGCAUUGAGAAGUGAUCAGCUUUAAUUUUCUUUUUUUUUCCCGUACAGCCA